RNAcentral lists this ribosomal RNA (333 nucleotides) under uncultured bacterium. RNAcentral's name for it is "partial 16S ribosomal RNA". It matches the Rfam family "Bacterial small subunit ribosomal RNA", at positions 338 to 668 of the family's 1533-position model. The record is from RNAcentral.
CCUACGGGAGGCAGCAGUGAGGAAUAUUGGUCAAUGGGCGGAAGCCUGAACCAGCCAAGUAGCGUGCAGGAUGACGGCCCUACGGGUUGUAAACUGUGUCUAUACGGGAAUAACGCGCCUUACCUGAAGGGCUUUGCAUGUACCGUAUGAAUAAGGACCGGCCAAUUUCGUGCCGGCAGCCGCGGUAAUACGGAGGGUCCGGGCGUUAUCCGGAUUUAUUGGGUUGAAAGGGAGCGUAGGCGGCAUGUCAAGCGUGCUGUGAAAUGUCCGGGCUCAACCCGGGGCUUGCAGCGGAAACUGGCGUGCUGGAGUCCGCGGAAGGAAGGCGGAAUU